GCUGUCAUCCCUGAACUUCAUCACCACCCCACUGCUACCAGUCCCUGGAACUACAGAUAUCUAGGAGGCACUGAAGACUCGUUUCAAUGCACGAGGCUGUCCAUGGAGUGAAAGGCAUUCUUGGAUAAAUGGAUGGUUUCCAUCCUUUCUCUAGAGCCAACAGCAUUUUGUAGAGCCUUCCAGGCUUCUGACAGUCACGAAGGGCCGGGUUGUUCGAAGGAUUGCCACCUGCCAGCAGGCUACUUGAAGCACGAAGUAAAAUCACCUCCAAAUGGGAAGAACUAAGGAGGCAGAAGGUUGAUCCAGGGGUGUUGGCUCCCUUGCACUUUCAGCUUUGCACAUGACCCAGCAGAACCCACAAUCCCAGUGGACAGAAAGCAAGUGCAAGGCAUCACAGCUGAGAUAUGUCAUUUUGUC
Molecule: long non-coding RNA, 417 nt
Organism: Nyctereutes procyonoides (raccoon dog)
Lineage: Eukaryota; Metazoa; Chordata; Mammalia; Carnivora; Canidae
Exons: 3
Source: RefSeq, a predicted model, not a curated record